UCUACAAGCUUUGGUCCGAUCCCAUUUUAGUCCGACAAUGAAAGCUCUCUUAUACAAGCUUGACUAAGAAAACCCGCAAAUACUUCUUCACAGUUGGGCGAGCAGUGCUUAUGGCAGAGAAGAGAGCGAAAGAAAGCAAAGAAAAUCUCUACAAGUGAAACUAUUUGUUUUAGAUUAGCAUGCAACCAGAAAAGAAACUGAAACUCUAGCUUCCCAGUUUCCUUUUAAUCUAAUGUCAAGGAAUUUUAAAGAAAAUAGAAAUUUUCUUUACUGGCUGUGCGUUUGUCUAUGUUUUGUAGAUGUCUUGGCGAGGUAAAGGUCGAGGUCGAGGGCUAGGGGGAUUUGGAGGAGGAGGGUUCGGCUAUAUAAAGCAACAGCCUUUUGUGGAGUUUCUAGAGCCAGAGCAUGGACAUAGAAAGGUUUUCUGAUUGGGGAAAGUCAAAGACCACAUCAAAACGUGAUGAACUAAACAAUUUUCUAUUCCUCGCAUCUAUGCAUUUUCCUGAAGAACUUGUUCAAGGUUUUCUUAGUAUAUCUUUUGCUUCUGUGUUCUCUCUCUCUCUCAAUCUCUUUUUUUAAUACUUUAGUUUUAAAUGGUUUUCUUGGAUACUGUUCUGAUGGUGCAAUAAUGGCUCAGGUGCAAAGAAAGAGCAGCCAAAUCCCAAAAAAGUUCAAUGGAACCCAGAUUUAGGUCUGAAUAGAUGGCAUGGCAUGUUCUUAAUUUCCAUAGAUUUAGUUGUUUCUGAAUGUUGUCAUUUUGAUAAUGCCUUUUUAAAAAAUUCAAGGUCUAUCUUGACAUUGUCCUUUUGGAUUUAUUUUUGUCCAUAUAAGCAUCAUAAUAAAUGACAUGAACAAGUUUCUGUGCUUUAUUGAUGUUGAUUAAUUCUAUGCUACGCGUAUUCAUAUUUUUAUUCCAAUUGCUUGCCUGUGCUUUUACUUAGUUUGAAUAGCUGGUUUGAAAUUUGCAACGUCUUUAAUGAUCAUAUGUGAUAUGUUCUAUAAAGUGCCCAUGCUCUGUUUCUUUGCAACUGUCUUGCAACAUGAAGUUUUUCAAUAUUAAUUAAAUCUAUUUGGAUUGUGUAUUGUAGACCAGAAAAAGUUCGAUCUGUUUGAGAAGCUUGAACAUAAGUAUAAGAUAAAAAGUUUGUAGAUUUAUAAAUCUUAGUAAAAACUUAUUAUAGCAUCUUAUGGACCCUAAUGUUGAUUCUUUUUUUCUUUUGGCAUUGGACUUCAAAGUCUGGGGCCUUUUAUUAUGUCUGCCUUGUGAACUUAGUUCCAACAGAUUCUUUGUGUGGUUAUCUGAUAUCUCCAGGGACAAGAGGAAAAAGGUGAAAAGGAAAAGAAAGAAGAUGAAGAUGAAGAAGUAGAUAAAGCUGAGGAAGAUUUCAGUGAUGAUGACUGUAAUCAGACGAACCUGUAUAAUAGGUGGCCUUCAAAGAAUGUUUCCCUGGCAUUCAGCUGACAGUAUGGUGCGAGUACUAUGAAUAUGGAAAUGAUUUUCAGUGGUAGAUAUCAAUUCUCAACUAGCUAUUAUUCAUGGUGGUAACACUACAUGUGCAAGGGCCUUUUUAUCUUUUAACAGUUACCUAAUGUAAGUCUCAUCAUUUUCCUUUUUCAUGGUAGAAAAUACUUAGCAACAAGAAUGCAGUUGCAUAUUCUGUCAUGGUCGAGCAAAUUUGGAAAUGGUAAUAUGCAUAAGAAUUCUUCACUAUAGCCCAGUAACAGAAAUUGAAAGCUUCAAAUAAAAUUGAGCUUUAUAUGAAAGUAGUAAUCAGUCUUGAAGAGAGAGAAUUCAUAUGAAAAAAAUAGGCAAUCAACAAGUUCCUAUAAUACUUCAAUAUGCAGGUUACUGGCAACAAAUUGAAACGGAAUUAUGACUAUAGCACAUACAGGUUACACAAGCAUGAAAGGGCUUACUAGCCUAAAAAUUAUUGCAUCAGGAUUCUAAGAAGUGGGUUGCCUUGAUACGGUCAAUAAAAGCCGAAGCUUUAUCAUUUAUGCGAGGAUCAGCAGGCCAUGGACUGUCAUCUUCAUCGCUAGGCCGCACCUUCCCAGACCGCAUACCAUGGCUAGAACCAUCUUCUUCUCUGCAAGGUUUCCGCGGCUUGAAUAACUUAAGAACAGGGAAAGCCUUCUUCUGCUUCUUGUUGUCACCCAUGAUUGUUUAAAUUGCUGCUUCUCCCCUAGUUUUGGUGUUUGCACAACCCUAACUGAGAAGGAACUUGAAGUGCUGUUUCUUGGGUAUGAAAUGUUAAGCAAGAUUUAUUAUAUUUAUAAUAGCAGGAGGUGCAAUGGGUUUGGUUUUGGUUGGAGAAUCUGGAAACUAGAAGGAAACUGGACUGCUACUUCCCUGCUUGACCCUUUGUUGUGUCUCCUUUCGCUUUCACUCUUCUUUGGAAAUUCUCGUCAUUUUUGGUCGGUUGGCUAUUGCAUGCUCAAUCUUUAGGGUAUUUCCUUUCUUUUUCUUCUUCAACGAAUAAUGAUUCACACGUUUUCGAGUUUCUU
Molecule: long non-coding RNA, 2505 nt
Organism: Hevea brasiliensis (rubber tree)
Lineage: Eukaryota; Viridiplantae; Streptophyta; Magnoliopsida; Malpighiales; Euphorbiaceae
Exons: 3
Source: RefSeq, a predicted model, not a curated record